RNAcentral lists this long non-coding RNA (3198 nucleotides) under Triticum aestivum (bread wheat). RNAcentral describes it as "long non-coding RNA (TAES_LNC016277)". The record is from RNAcentral. Lineage: Eukaryota; Viridiplantae; Streptophyta; Magnoliopsida; Poales; Poaceae.
GAAGUUGUAUAUAAAGGUGAUAAUUUCACGCACAUUGGAAGCCCGCAUACAGUGUACUAGAAUUAACCGUUUAGAUGUUGCUCUUUCGACACUCUUUUUUUAGACCUUAACUGUUUUCAAUCUUCAUGUCUAUUUAGGCAACAGGACGGGGUAAGAAAGUUAUAACCAAUCGGUGGAUUUGUAAGCACCGGGAUUUUCUCACUUCUCUUGACAUUCGAUUGAAGACAAUAACGCUAGAACGAUAUGUAGCCAACCAUGCAAACACUAUGUGGCACCCCGGCUCAGAGAAAACCAGAACGCCCCGUAUUCCAGCCGAGAGAUCGAGGAGAAGUCUUCUGGAAUACGGAACUGCUUAGCAUAGAACAAACCAGCUUUCUAUUAUUACACGAAUAUGAUUACAAGGUCUCCGAUAUUACAAUGAAUAACAUCGGCACAGCGACACUACGCCAUCCUCAGUUGCUCUAUGCAAGCAGUAGAACAACUCGAAGCAGCGGAAUAACUCUGGCAACGAUAGUGGUGAACUCCACUCAGCAGGGACUCUGGCUGGAACGCUUAUCCUAGCUCACAAACAAAGAAUCCACGGCAAACAAGCAUGCAAUCCAGGCACGACCUGCAAGCUGGCAUGACACGCCAGGUCAGUACAUUGAAUGUAAUUGCAAGCUCACAAAUAACCAGAAGCAUUCAAGACAAACAACAGCAUGGCAAUUACAGAUUAAUCAGGGAUUAUCAUGAGGUCAUCAGGAUAACAUGGCAUGAACACCAUGAACAAAAUACUGCUAGGACAAUAUGAGCAUGGCAUGAACAUAAAAAUCUGAUGAUACUAGCAUGCAACAUGAAGACACUACAUGCACCAUUUAUUCUGCUCGGGUUACCUCAUAUCACAUGCAUCACUUACCAACCUCGGACAUCACACGAUCAUCUCAGGAUCAAAUCAAGCUUGGUAUAAACAAUAUCGUAGUAAUCAUUAAAUGACCACAAGGAGCUUGAUCUUUACCCACGAUUCUCGCACAAUAUCACGAAUAUCCAACAACUCGGUAUCCUCGAUACCACGGUGAUCAUUCCGGCGAUCACAACCAUGACCAACACUUGGUCUCAAACGGUGAUCUUUCCGGCGAUCACAACCAACUUAUCUCAUCGUCGAACCGGGGUUGUCAUUAAUCAAGUUUAAUACUGUUGACUCACGGUGGGACCGACAUGAACUGGGCCCUUAUCCGCGGGCGCGGCUAUCGAUAGAUUUAAUAUACACUCUGCAGAGGUUAGUACACUAUACCCACACUACGGAACCCAUGGCCUCGCACUCCCAUUCGGGUGGACCAACGCCGUUCCGACAAAACCGAUCUACUGCCAUGACGCUCUCCCGGCCACUCCGACUCACUCCCCAUUGGGCUAGUCCUGGGUGGCCCCGUGUCUACCAAAGACACAACAACCACCAUCGUGGUCCGUCCCAACAGGGACAAAAGCGCUUAUCAUCCAAUCUACGGGCACACAAGGUUAUGUCCGCCUACCUGAUCAGGGUAAGCACGCCCAUAACCUUCCCUAGUUGGAGGCACCGGCGAGAGGCACGACAAUAGACCCAGUUAGGACCUCCCCAUAAGGUAAGCGUGGUUGCACUGGUUAGUUUCGAUAUGGUGGCACCAUGACUCAGCCAACAGUUGUUCAAGUUUAAUUUAAUCCGGUUAAACUUGAAUGCAAUAUGCUGAGCCAUGAUAAAAUAACAUGAUGCAUUUACAAAGCAGGAGCAUGAUAUCAACAUAAUCACGGGAUGCAACAUAACUAUCCACCACAUCAACUACGAAUAAUCUCCAACUGAACAUGGCAUAAUGACGAGCAUAAAUAUUACAAGUGCAACACUACUCAUAGUAUAACAUGACCUCUAGCAUCAACCAUAAAUACCAUGCAAGAACAUAACAACAAUGCAAGCAUUUAACCAACGGGAUGCAAUGAAACAUGUAUAACAACGGUACUCGGGACAGACGGCAGCUAUGCACCGAAGACCAUCACCAACAUCAACAGGUACUACUAGCAAGCAUAAGCAUAUGAUAGGAAUACUAGCAACUAGCAGGGCAUGAUAACCACGUGCAUAACAACAUAGCAAGCAAGCAAGUAAUAACCCAGAAGCAUUACCGAAACAACGAUAACCAUAUUUUAAACAAGCAAUCUUUUAAUAAAUAUUCAAGUUGAAAACCAUGGCUACUACAUGACUAUCAUGCAAGUGGGUAUUGUGGCUUGCCUGGGGGUGAAGAAGGCACCGGGGAGAACUGCGGUGAAGCCGCGGAAAGAUUUGCCGGAAACAGUUCUCUCUCGGAGGGGCUGUUUACGUGCAAGGGCAAAAAGGUCAUUUUCACAGUGUCAACCCAUAGUGAAAAUGAAAUCAACAUAACGGGCUCAACGAAACGAAGACGUGGGCUUUGGUUUCACCUUAAUCGGAGUCUCGAGCAAAAAGAUAUGAUAGUUUUUCUGCCAGGGACCUAUCUGAGAAAAGUUUUCUGCAAACAAGCCCCUGACUGAGAAAACUGAAAACGCAUUCGGCCAAAUACGCUUUCUGCCAAAGAAAACGCACUUUCAGCCGAAGUAGAUAGGGAACACGCUUUCGGGCAAGGAAAACGUAUUUCGGACAGAGGUCACUGGAUUACGCUUCCACUUAUGGAAAACGGAAACACCGGAAAUACGUUUCCACUUACCAAGUCAGCAGAGGCGGGGCCGGGGCUAGUUUCGCUGACGUGCGGGUCCCAUGAGGUGGGGCCCGUCACUUAUCCACGCUGGCCGCCCGGGUCAACGCAUGCUGAGGCGGGGCCGGGCCAGAGUGGCUGCAAGGUGGGAUUGGGGAAAGGAGGGGGCCCGGCUGGCCUCGUCUCCAUCUCCUACCUCGCGCGUGCCCGACGGAGAAGAGCAGGGGCGCGGCUCCGGCGAGGGUUGCCAGCAGCUCCGGCCACCGUUCAAGGCGCCGAGGAUACCGGCAGGUUCGGGACGACGAGGCGGCUCCGUUCCAGGGUAGCGCGGUCGCCGGGGACAUCGAGGUCGAGGAGGACAGGAGCCAUGGCGGAGGGAAGCUACGUGUGGAGAUGGGCUCAAGGCCAUAGUGCCUCCGGCGAGGGUGAGAGGGCAUGGGGAGGAUCUCCGGAGUGAAGGGAUCUCACUGGUGGUGGCUAGCGGCAGGGAGGAGGUGCGGACCGCCGGAAUCGAAGAGGGGCAGAGGCG